AAGACUUUGGAUCAGGUGAAGGUCUUUCAUGGACAUGUUUUCAUUUCCCUAAACAUCUAAAAGUGGAAUUGCGUGGUGAUAAGUGUCUUUCUUCUUUUUAA
Molecule: long non-coding RNA, 101 nt
Organism: Suricata suricatta (meerkat)
Lineage: Eukaryota; Metazoa; Chordata; Mammalia; Carnivora; Herpestidae
Exons: 3
Source: RefSeq, a predicted model, not a curated record